UACAGAGGGGGCAAGCGUUAUUCGGAAUUAUUGGGCGUAAAGGGCGCGUAGGCGGUUUGUACAGUCAGACGUGAAAUUCCUGGGCUCAACCUGGGGGCUGCGUUUGAUACGUGCGAGCUUGAGUUCGGAAGAGGGUCGUGGAAUUCCCAGUGUAGAGGUGAAAUUCGUAGAUAUUGGGAAGAACACCGGUGGCGAAGGCGGCGACCUGGUCCGAUACUGACGCUGAGGCGCGAAAGCGUGGGGAGCAAACAGG
This 253-nucleotide ribosomal RNA is filed under the name uncultured bacterium. Its description in RNAcentral is "partial 16S ribosomal RNA". It matches the Rfam family "Bacterial small subunit ribosomal RNA", at positions 524 to 776 of the family's 1533-position model. The record is from RNAcentral.